GAGCAGACAUCCAUAUUCGCCCUGCAGGAAAUGGUUCCUUCCUGCUUGGAGCUGCAGAUGUUCAGCAGCAGACAGGAAACCGGGACCGGCUGUGGAGGUCACUAUGCUGCUGAGAAAAAUAAUAAAGUUAGCUUUUCGAUUUAAAAACAAGAGAAAGAAAGGGAAGAGUGUCAGUUUUUAACUCAGUUUUUCUCAGAGAGGUUUCCAUGGUGCAGAGGAGACGGCAGAUGGUCAGAAAGGAUUCCAUGUGAAGGACUCACCUCAGUUCACCUGUCAGACCAUCUCAUACUGGUUGGUGCUGAUGAGGUGGGCCAAGCAGCAGGCCAGAGACGUCCCGACCACCUGGGACAGAAUCGGGUCACACUGGGUCCAAACAUCAGUUACGUGUCAAGGUCAGGGGGUGUAAUCUGAAGAGACCUCCCACCAGUUUGAGCAUCCAGGGCCGACCCCUGCAGGUGGC
Poeciliopsis prolifica (blackstripe livebearer) is the source of this 460-nucleotide long non-coding RNA. RefSeq lists it as uncharacterized. Lineage: Eukaryota; Metazoa; Chordata; Actinopteri; Cyprinodontiformes; Poeciliidae. The transcript has 3 exons. The record is from RefSeq and is a predicted model, not a curated record.